GGGGCUGUAACGGUUUCGACAGGCUAGCGAAAGCCGAACCGUGAUGCAGGCCGAGAGUGGGUCUUCUCUCGUAAAAAAAAGGCUCAAAAAAAGUAAGUGCGAACAACAUCGUUCCUUUUGCUCGUAAAGCAGCUGCUGUAGCUGCCUAAGGCCUAGAGAAAGGCUCGAGCGCUCAUAGUGCGACCCCGUUAAGCACUAUGGGCAAACCCCAACGGGUGCUCCCUAAGAUGGUGUCUGGUCUGUCUUAGGGCUAAGAUAAAACCAGAAGUCCCCACUGUCAGGGAUAAAUGACAGUUCCCGCCCCGAGGGUAAGAGGGGCUAAGCCUGUGAGGGAGCGGGAGGUGAAUAGCUAGUCUGGACAGCAGUUCGACUCUGCUCAGCUCCAUAA
RNAcentral lists this transfer-messenger RNA (388 nucleotides) under Geminocystis sp. It matches the Rfam family "transfer-messenger RNA". From Rfam's summary of the family: Bacterial tmRNA, also known as 10Sa RNA or SsrA, is named for its dual tRNA and mRNA-like properties. Its role is to liberate the mRNA from a stalled ribosome. The record is from RNAcentral. Lineage: Bacteria; Bacillati; Cyanobacteriota; Cyanophyceae; Chroococcales; Geminocystaceae. RNAcentral also lists the same sequence under 2 other names.